RNAcentral lists this ribosomal RNA (348 nucleotides) under uncultured bacterium. RNAcentral's name for it is "bacterial SSU rRNA". It matches the Rfam family "Bacterial small subunit ribosomal RNA", at positions 46 to 391 of the family's 1533-position model. The record is from RNAcentral.
GCCUAACACAUGCAAGUCGAGCGGCAGCACAAGGGAGUUACUCCUGAGGUGGCGAGCGGCGGACGGGUGAGUAAUGCCUAGGGAUCUGCCCAGUCGAGGGGGAUAACAGUUGGAAACGACUGCUAAUACCGCAUACGCCCUACGGGGGAAAGAGGGGGACCUUCGGGCCUCUCGCGAUUGGAUGAACCUAGGUGGGAUUAGCUAGUUGGUGAGGUAAUGGCUCACCAAGGCGACGAUCCCUAGCUGUUCUGAGAGGAUGAUCAGCCACACUGGGACUGAGACACGGCCCAGACUCCUACGGGAGGCAGCAGUGGGGAAUAUUGCACAAUGGGGGAAACCCUGAUGCAG